This 26-nucleotide non-coding RNA is filed under the name Rattus norvegicus (Norway rat). The record is from RNAcentral. Lineage: Eukaryota; Metazoa; Chordata; Mammalia; Rodentia; Muridae.
UAGGUUUCCUGAAUACUGUUGCUGAC